This 490-nucleotide ribosomal RNA is filed under the name uncultured bacterium. RNAcentral's name for it is "partial 16S ribosomal RNA". It matches the Rfam family "Bacterial small subunit ribosomal RNA", at positions 29 to 507 of the family's 1533-position model. The record is from RNAcentral.
AGUGAACGCUGGCGGCAGGCCUAACACAUGCAAGUCGAACGGCAGCACAAGAGAGCUUGCUCUCUGGGUGGCGAGUGGCGGACGGGGGAGGAAUGCAUCGGAAUCUGCCCAUUUGUGGGGGAUAACCCCGGGAAACCGGGACUAAUACCGCAUACGACCUACGGGUGAAAGCAGGGGAUCUUCGGACCUUGCGCAGAUGGAUGAGCCGAUGCCGGAUUAGCUAGUUGGAGGGGUAAAGGCCCACCAAGGCGACGAUCCGUAGCUGGUCUGAGAGGAUGAUCAGCCACACUGGGACUGAGACACGGCCCAGACUCCUACGGGAGGCAGCAGUGGGGAAUAUUGGACAAUGGGCGCAAGCCUGAUCCAGCCAUGCCGCGUGUGUGAAGAAGGCCUUCGGGUUGUAAAGCACUUUUGUUGGGAAAGAAAAGCAGCCGGUUAAUACCCGGUUGUCAUGACGGUACCCAAAGAAUAAGCACCGGCUAACUUCGUG